Long non-coding RNA from Gordionus sp. m RMFG-2023, 721 nucleotides. RefSeq lists it as uncharacterized. The record is from RefSeq and is a predicted model, not a curated record. The transcript is spliced from 3 exons. Lineage: Eukaryota; Metazoa; Nematomorpha; Gordioida; Chordodea; Parachordodidae.
ACGAAUGUUAUGAAUUACAAUCAUAAUUAUUGCCAUUUAAAUAUGACGAAUGAUGAAAACAAUCAUUUGUUGCAUCCUCAAAUAUACUAUCAACCCUAUAAUAAUCAUAUAACUAACUACACUAGUCAACAUUUAUUGUAUAAUAUUCCUCAUAACCAUUAUAAACCAACAUGUAAUAUCGUGAUUGAUAAUGGUGCAAGCCAAAGUCAAAAUUAUUAUUUUAACCCAAAAAAAAUAAACGUAUCUGAAGAUAAACAAUGUAAUUCUAAAUUUAUUAAUAAAUCAAAUAUAAAAACAACACAUAAGUUUAAGAAUCAUGAUGUGAAUUAUACAAAGAAAUGUUGUGAAAACCCUACUCAAGAUAUCUCAGGAGUUUUGAAAACCAAAUGUUUAGUUGAUAUAAAAGAUUCUAGAUUAUCAGUACCAUUAAAAUCUUUUCCUCAUCAAAAUUAUGCAUAUAAAGAGGUAUCAAAAUUCACAAAUAAACAAGAAAACAAUAAAGGUGGCAUUAUUAAAAUUGAUAAAAAGUUAUUACUUGGUAUCAAUGCACCUUCUAAAAGACUUAACAAUACAAUAAACAUUGGAGAGCUUAUAAAAGAGGCAGAAUCAGAGGUUUUUAUAUCAAUAUUUAUUAUAUAUAAUUUAAUUAGAAUAGGUUGUGUUCACAAGUGUUUUAAAUUUUAAGGAAAUCUAAUUACAGUUUUAAAAAUUUCACAAAUAU